Long non-coding RNA from Hibiscus syriacus, 574 nucleotides. RefSeq lists it as uncharacterized. The transcript has 6 exons. The record is from RefSeq and is a predicted model, not a curated record. NCBI's taxonomy places the organism in Eukaryota, Viridiplantae, Streptophyta, Magnoliopsida, Malvales, Malvaceae.
CUUGUACUUCUAAAAGAAUAUGGUCAAAUAGGAUUGUGAUAUUUUAUCAAGCAUGGCGUACUUUAUAUGAAAACUUGAAAUGGAAAGCUCUUACCUGGUUCUACUUUGGAACAACUAGCUAGUUGGUAGAAUUUGGACCCAACAACUUCAAGUAUCGAAUACUGUUGUACAACUGCAGAAAAGCUGGCUGACGAACAAAGAAAGUUUGAUGCAGUGAUUGCUUUAGAGGUGAUUGAACACGUAGCAAAUCCUGCCGAGUUCUGCAAAUCUCUCUCGGCUUUAACUGCUCAUGAAGGAGCUACGGUGGUUUCAACAAUUAACCGCUCUAUGAGGUCAUAUGCAACUGCCAUUGUUGCAGCAGAGUACCUGCUACAUUGGCUUCCUAAAGGCACGCAUCAAUGGUCAAGUUUCCUUACCCCAGAAGAACUGACCAUGAUUUUAAAGCGAGCUUCGAUCGAUGUGAAAGAGAUGGCCGGAUUUGUGUUCAACCCCAUAACACGGAGAUGGUCUCCGUCAGACGAUACUAGUGUGAAUUUUAUUGCUUUUUGUACUAAAGAAGAAUAGGGUUGUUAUG